RNAcentral lists this antisense RNA (502 nucleotides) under Streptomyces sp. CB02488. RNAcentral's name for it is "Saccharopolyspora sRNA 350". It matches the Rfam family "Saccharopolyspora sRNA 350". Lineage: Bacteria; Bacillati; Actinomycetota; Actinomycetes; Kitasatosporales; Streptomycetaceae. The record is from Rfam by way of RNAcentral.
ACAGCGGUCUGCUCCCACCGGGCGUCCUCGUCCAGCAGCGCGUUGUCCCCGAACCGGUCGCCGUCCGCGAGUACGUCCAGGGCGAUCUCGUCGCCGUAACCGCCCACGGAGGUCUGGCCGACGCGGCCGUGCGCGAUGAGGUGGAUCCGGUCCGCCGCAGCUCCACGCUCGACCAGCGUCUCGCCCGCCCGGAAGUCGCGCUGGACGCACCGGCCGGCGAUGGCGGUCAGCGCGUCGAGGUCCUCGAAGCCACGCAGCAGGGCCAGUUCGCCCAGCUCCUGGGGGAUCACCCGGACCUCGGCGCCGUCCUGGACGAACUCCACCUUGCCGUCCCCGACGGUGUAGGCGAGGCGCCGGUUGACCCGGUAGGCGCCGCCCUUGGUCUCCACCCAGGGGAGCAUCCGCAGCAGCCAGCGGGAGGUGAUCUCCUGCAUCUGCGGGGCGGACUUGGUCGUGGUGGCGAGGUUACGGGCAGCCGCUGUCCCGAGACUGGACUGUUUGG